RNAcentral lists this ribosomal RNA (756 nucleotides) under uncultured Lactarius. RNAcentral's name for it is "eukaryotic LSU rRNA". The stretch from base 277 to 430 matches the Rfam family "5.8S ribosomal RNA". Lineage: Eukaryota; Fungi; Basidiomycota; Agaricomycetes; Russulales; Russulaceae. The record is from RNAcentral.
CGGUCGAGGCCCAAACGCCGUUACAAGUUUUCCCUAGGUGAUCCUGCGGAAUGAUCAUUAUCGUAACAAAAUGUGAGGGGCAUGUGAGGGCUGUCGCUGACUCAAUCGUCGUGCACGCCCGAGCGUGUCCUCUCACAUAAUAAUCCAUCUCACCCCUUGUGCAUCGCCGCGUGGGCACCCUUUGGGAUCAUCUCGGAGGGGGCUCGCGUUUUCUCACAAACCCCCCUUUUAAAAGUGUAGAAUGACCUCAUUUAUGCGCUAACCCGUAAUCAAUACAACUUUCAACAACGGAUCUCUUGGCUCUCGCAUCGAUGAAGAACGCAGCGAAAUGCGAUACGUAAUGUGAAUUGCAGAAUUCAGUGAAUCAUCGAAUCUGUGAACGCACCUUGCGCCCCUUGGUAUUCCGAGGGGCACACCCGUUUGAGUGUCGGUGAAAACCUCAGCCUCCUUGGUUUCUUCUGGAGACCAAAGCAGGCUUGGACUUUGGAGGAACUUUGCUGGCACCUCUCUCUUUUGAAGGUCAGCUCCUCUUAAAUGAAUUAGCAGGGUCCGUUUGCUGAUCCUCGACGUGUGAUAAGAUGUUUCCAUGUCUUGGUUUCUGGCUCUGUCCUCUUGGGACCCGCUUCUAACCGUCUUGACCUUGCGUCGAGACAAUGUUCGAGCAUGUCUCCCAUCUUGGAAGCCCCCUCGACCCCACGAACCCUUGACCUCAAAUCGGGUGGGACCACCCGCUGAUCUUAAGCAUUGCUGAGCUGA